Molecule: unclassified non-coding RNA, 606 nt
Filed under: Jurinea deltoidea
Lineage: Eukaryota; Viridiplantae; Streptophyta; Magnoliopsida; Asterales; Asteraceae
Description: Himalaiella deltoidea partial miscellaneous RNA
Source: RNAcentral
UACUUACCACAGCAUGGCUUAAUCUUUGAGACAAGCAUAUGACUACUGGCAGGAUCAACCAGGUAGCAUUCCUCUUCGACAAAGCCCGCCACGCAAGGACAAGCCAUAACAUGACGGGUGAUCGUUUGAGAGAAGCGAGAACGCUUAACAAGAGCAAAUGUAGGAUCAAUAAGACCCAUGCCCACAUUGAGUUCCGUAUACAAGAUACCAAGCAAUGCUUCAUGGGCCACAUCGUCGAUGCAUAAGCACCAACAAGGCGGAUCACAAAGAUCGCAUCAACGUUCGUCCCACGCUGCAUGAGCAGACCCAAGACGAAAAGGGACUAUAAACCAACACAAUACCAUCAAUUAGGUAUGCAACACAGGAAACCCACAAAAUACCCAAGGCGAUAAGCCUUGCGUACAACUGAAGAGGUAAGCACGCGUGGAAGUUGCUGCUUAAGGCAGACAUCCAACCACCCGUAACAAACCAAACACCACUCAUGCACCUUUACGGUCAACAUUCCCGAAAGCCGCCCAACUAGUAGCGACCCACCCGACACAUAGGCCAAGCAAGCAACCAAAAGCCAAAACAGCCCCCAGAAUGCACCGAACGAUAUCGAAAAGU